GUCCAUGUAGUACAAUGGAUAGCUCGUUGGAUUUUUAAUCCAAAAGUUGUGGGUUCGAAUCCCACCUGGGAUG
Non-coding RNA from Trichonephila inaurata madagascariensis, 73 nucleotides. The record is from the annotation of a GenBank genome assembly. NCBI's taxonomy places the organism in Eukaryota, Metazoa, Arthropoda, Arachnida, Araneae, Nephilidae.